GCCCUGGCCAGGCUGCAGCUUCUUUGUGCAACUAGUCUCCCAGGCCAGGACCCUUGGGUGGUACUCCAGCACCCAACUAGGCAGUUUCCUGGUGGCCACUCCCAGAUGAAUGCGGUUUAAGAAGAAAAGAAAUGGCAGAGGGAACAGAAUGGGCAUUAUAUGCCAGGAACCCACAUGCCUCAUACCUGGCUGAGUCUUGAAAUUUCCAGUUUACCUGGGACGGGUCCAGGUAACCUGGCUUUAAGGAACUAGGCUCCACAUUGACAAGAACAUCAAACAGCUAGAGAUUGACAUUACUAAUCUGAAGAAAUCCCUCGUUUCGCUGUCUGAAGAGACCUCC
This is a long non-coding RNA of Grammomys surdaster, 340 nucleotides long. RefSeq lists it as uncharacterized. The transcript is spliced from 4 exons. Lineage: Eukaryota; Metazoa; Chordata; Mammalia; Rodentia; Muridae. The record is from RefSeq and is a predicted model, not a curated record.